AUUGAUCAUCGACACUUCGAACGCACUUGCGGCCCCGGGUUCCUCCCGGGGCU
RNAcentral lists this microRNA precursor (53 nucleotides) under Echinops telfairi (small Madagascar hedgehog). RNAcentral describes it as "miRNA (ENSETEG00000023920.1)". Lineage: Eukaryota; Metazoa; Chordata; Mammalia; Afrosoricida; Tenrecidae. The record is from RNAcentral.